Molecule: ribosomal RNA, 902 nt
Filed under: Pinguiococcus pyrenoidosus
Lineage: Eukaryota; Pinguiophyceae; Pinguiochrysidales; Pinguiochrysidaceae
Description: bacterial SSU rRNA
Rfam family: Bacterial small subunit ribosomal RNA
Source: RNAcentral
CGAAAGCCUGACAGAGCAAUACUGCGUGAGGGAUGACGGCUUUCGGGUUGUAAACCUCUUUUAUCAAGGAAGAAGAUCUGACGUUACUUGAUGAAUAAGCAUCGGCUAACUCCGUGCCAGCAGCCGCGGUAAUACGGAGGAUGCAAGUGUUAUCCGGAAUCACUGGGCGUAAAGCGUCUGUAGGUGGUUUAGCAAGUCCGUUGUUAAAGGCUGAGGCUCAACCUUGGUAUGGCAAUAGAUACUACUAGACUAGAGGAUUGUAGAGGUAGAGGGAAUUUCCAGUGGAGCGGUGAAAUGCGUAGAGAUUGGAAAGAACACCAAAGGCGAAGGCACUCUACUGGGCAAUACCUGACACUGAGAGACGAAAGCUAGGGUAGCAAAUGGGAUUAGAUACCCCAGUAGUCCUAGCUGUAAACGAUGGAUACUAGAUGUUGGAGGUCCCGAUCCCUUUGAUAUCAAAGCUAACGCGUUAAGUAUCCCGCCUGGGAAGUACGCUCGCAAGAGUGAAACUCAAAGGAAUUGACGGGGACCCGCACAAGCGGUGGAGCAUGUGGUUUAAUUUGAUGCAACGCGAAGAACCUUACCAGGGUUUGACAUGACGUAAAUUUCUUUGAGAAAAGAAAGUGCCGUAAGGAAUACGUACACAGGUGGUGCACGGCUGUCGUCAGCUCGUGUCGUGAGAUGUUGGGUUAAGUCCCGCAACGAGCGCAACCCUUGUUUUUAGUUGCCAUAUGGAAAUCUAAAAAGACUGCCGAUUCAACAUCGGAGGAAGGAAAGGACGACGUCAAGUCAUCAUGCCCCUUAUACCCUGGGCUACACACGUGCUACAAAGAGAAAGACAAUGAGCAGCUAACCUGCAAAGGGGUGCGAAUCUCCAAACUUUCUCUCAGUUCGGAUUGUAG